UGAGGGAKGGAGGCCUUCGGGUUGUAAACCUCUUUCGCUCAUGGUCAAGCCGCAACAUUGGUUGUGGUGAGGGUAGUGGGUAAAGAAGCGCCGGCUAACUACGUGCCAGCAGCCGCGGUAAUACGUAGGGCGCGAGCGUUGUCCGGAAUUAUUGGGCGUAAAGGGCUUGUAGGCGGUUGGUCGCGUCUGCCGUGAAAUCCUCUGGCUUAACUGGGGGCGUGCGGUGGGUACGGGCUGACUUGAGUGCGGUAGGGGAGACUGGAACUCCUGGUGUAGCGGUGGAAUGCGCAGAUAUCAGGAAGAACACCGGUGGCGAAGGCGGGUCUCUGGGCCGUUACUGACGCUGAGGAGCGAAAGCGUGGGGAGCGAACAGGAUUAGAUACCCUGGUAGUCCACGCUGUAAACGUUGGGCACUAGGUGUGGGGGCCACCCGUGGUUUCUGCGCCGUAGCUAACGCUUUAAGUGCCCCGCCUGGGGAGUACGGCCGCAAGGCUAAAACUCAAAGGAAUUGACGGGGGCCCGCACAAGCGGCGGAGCAUGCGGAUUAAUUCGAUGCAACGCGAAGAACCUUACCAAGGCUUGACAUGCACGGCGGCACUGCAGAGAUGUGGUGGCAUUUAGUUGGUCGUGUGCAGGUGGUGCAUGGUUGUCGUCAGCUCGUGUCGUGAGAUGUUGGGUUAAGUCCCGCAACGAGCGCAACCCUUGCCCUAUGUUGCCAGCACGUGAUGGUGGGGACUCGUGGGGGACUGCCGGGGUUAACUCGGAGGAAGGUGGGGAUGACGUCAAAUCAUCAUGCCCCUUAUGUCUUGGGCUUCACGCAUGCUACAAUGGCUGGUACAGAGGGUUGCGAUAUCGUGAGGUGGAGCGAAUCCCUUAAAGCCAGUCUCAGUUCGGAUUGGGGUCUGCAACUCGACCCCAUGAAGGUGGAGUCGCUAGUAAUCGCAGAUCAGCAACGCUGCGGUGAAUACGUUCUCGGGCCUUGUACACACCGCCCGUCACGUCACGAAAGUUGGUAACA
Molecule: ribosomal RNA, 1018 nt
Filed under: Schaalia odontolytica
Lineage: Bacteria; Bacillati; Actinomycetota; Actinomycetes; Actinomycetales; Actinomycetaceae
Description: bacterial SSU rRNA
Rfam family: Bacterial small subunit ribosomal RNA
Source: RNAcentral